CGUCUAGACGGAUGAGAAUAGGCUUCGGCCUCGUAUCUCAGCAGGCGAUCCCUCCGGCGGCCUCGAAGUGGUCGUCGGUAGUUCGCGUAUUGUAAUUUAGACACGUGCGGGGUCAAAUCCUUUGCAGACGACUUAGCUGUGCGAAACGGUCCUGUAAGCAGUAGAGUAGCCUUGUUGUUACGAUCUGCUGAGGGUAAGCCGUUCUUCGCCUAGAUUUCUC
This 220-nucleotide ribosomal RNA is filed under the name Diaporthe helianthi. Its description in RNAcentral is "partial 28S large subunit ribosomal RNA". It matches the Rfam family "Eukaryotic large subunit ribosomal RNA", at positions 3175 to 3401 of the family's 3401-position model. Lineage: Eukaryota; Fungi; Ascomycota; Sordariomycetes; Diaporthales; Diaporthaceae. The record is from RNAcentral.